CGCCGGGGUCGUGAAAGAAUAUUUGCUAUCUGAGUGAUGGUGAGGACUGUCCUGACCACCAAGAUCGCUGAUGUACGAGCCGGGCG
Bos mutus (wild yak) is the source of this 86-nucleotide small nucleolar RNA. Its record names the gene SNORD24. It matches the Rfam family "Small nucleolar RNA SNORD24". From Rfam's summary of the family: U24 is a member of the C/D class of snoRNA which contain the C (UGAUGA) and D (CUGA) box motifs. C/D box snoRNAs have been shown to act as methylation guides for a number of RNA targets. NCBI's taxonomy places the organism in Eukaryota, Metazoa, Chordata, Mammalia, Artiodactyla, Bovidae. The record is from Ensembl.